CUAGAAAAACAGGAAU
This 16-nucleotide transfer RNA is filed under the name Alytes muletensis (Mallorcan midwife toad). RNAcentral describes it as "partial tRNA-Gln". RNAcentral also lists the same sequence under 5 other names. Lineage: Eukaryota; Metazoa; Chordata; Amphibia; Anura; Alytidae. The record is from RNAcentral.